This 512-nucleotide ribosomal RNA is filed under the name uncultured bacterium. Its description in RNAcentral is "partial 16S ribosomal RNA". It matches the Rfam family "Bacterial small subunit ribosomal RNA", at positions 28 to 523 of the family's 1533-position model. The record is from RNAcentral.
GACGAACGCUGGCGGCGUGCCUAAUACAUGCAAGUCGAGCGGAACUGGGGGAGCUUGCUCCUUCCAGUUUAGCGGCGGACGGGUGAGUAACACGUGGGCAACCUGCCCUGCAGAUCGGGAUAACUCCGGGAAACCGGUGCUAAUACCGAAUAGUUUGGCGCCUCUCCUGAGGCGCUACGGAAAGACGGCUUCGGCUGUCACUGCAGGAUGGGCCCGCGGCGCAUUAGCUAGUUGGUGGGGUAACGGCACACCAAGGCGACGAUGCGUAGCCGACCUGAGAGGGUGACCGGCCACACUGGGACUGAGACACGGCCCAGACUCCUACGGGAGGCAGCAGUAGGGAAUCUUCCGCAAUGGACGCAAGUCUGACGGAGCAACGCCGCGUGAGUGACGAAUGUUUUCGGAUCGUAAAACUCUGUUGUGAGGGAAGAACACGUACCAACUAACUAUUGGUACCUUGACGGUACCUCGCCAGAAAGCCACGGCUAACUACGUGCCAGCCGCCGUCGUAA